UGAGGAAUAUUGGUCAAUGGACGAGAGUCUGAACCAGCCAAGUAGCGUGAAGGAUGAAGGUUCUAUGGAUUGUAAACUUCUUUUAUACGGGAAUAAACGAAUCCACGCGUGGAUUUUUGCAUGUACCGUAUGAAUAAGGAUCGGCUAACUCCGUGCCAGCAGCCGCGGUAAUACGGAGGAUCCGAGCGUUAUCCGGAUUUAUUGGGUUUAAAGGGAGCGUAGAUGGGUUGUUAAGUCAGUUGUGAAAGUUUGCGGCUCAACCGUAAAAUUGCAAUUGAUACUGGCAGUCUUGAGUACAGUUGAGGUAGGCGGAAUUCGUGGUGUAGCGGUGAAAUGCUUAGAUAUCACGAAGAACUCCGAUUGCGAAGGCAGCUUACUAACCUGUAACUGACAUUGAUGCUCGAAAGUGUGGGUAUCAAACAGGAUUAGAUACCCUGGUAGUCCACACGGUAAACGAUGAAUACUCGCUGUUUGCGAUAUACAGCAAGCGGCCAAGCGAAAGCGUUAAGUAUUCCACCUGGGGAGUACGCCGGCAACGGUGAAACUCAAAGGAAUUGACGGGGGCCCGCACAAGCGGAGGAACAUGUGGUUUAAUUCGAUGAUACGCGAGGAACCUUACCCGGGCUUAAAUUGCAGAUGAAUUACGGUGAAAGCCGUAAGCCGCAAGGCAUCUGUGAAGGUGCUGCAUGGUUGUCGUCAGCUCGUGCCGUGAGGUGUCGGCUUAAGUGCCAUAACGAGCGCAACCCUUGUUGUCAGUUACUAACAGGUUCCGCUGAGGACUCUGACAAGACUGCCAUCGUAAGAUGUGAGGAAGGUGGGGAUGACGUCAAAUCAGCACGGCCCUUACGUCCGGGGCUACACACGUGUUACAAUGGGGGGUACAGAGGGCCGCUACCACGCGAGUGGAUGCCAAUCCCAAAAACCUCUCUCAGUUCGGACUGGAGUCUGCAACCCGACUCCACGAAGCUGGAUUCGCUAGUAAUCGCGCAUCAGCCACGGCGCGGUGAAUACGUUCCC
This 1017-nucleotide ribosomal RNA is filed under the name uncultured organism. RNAcentral describes it as "bacterial SSU rRNA". It matches the Rfam family "Bacterial small subunit ribosomal RNA", at positions 355 to 1375 of the family's 1533-position model. The record is from RNAcentral.